Molecule: ribosomal RNA, 372 nt
Filed under: uncultured organism
Description: partial 16S ribosomal RNA
Rfam family: Bacterial small subunit ribosomal RNA
Source: RNAcentral
GUAGGUGGCAAGCGUUGUCCGGAAUUAUUGGGCGUAAAGCGCGCGCAGGCGGUUCUUUAAGUCUGAUGUGAGAGCCCACGGCUCAACCGUGGAGGGUCAUUGAAAACUGGAGAACUUGAGUACAGAAGAGGAAAGCGGAAUUCCACGUGUAGCGGUGAAAUGCGUAGAGAUGUGGAGGAACACCAGUGGCGAAGGCGGCUUUCUGGUCUGUAACUGACGCUGAGGCGCGAAAGCGUGGGGAGCAAACAGGAUUAGAUACCCUGGUAGUCCACGCCGUAAACGAUGAGUGCUAAGUGUUAGGGGGUUUCCGCCCCCCUUAGUGCUGCAGCUAACGCAUUAAGCAUUCCGCCUGGGAGUACGGCCGCAAGGCUG